AUACUUGCUCCCUGAUUUAUUUUACUCCCUUUCCCACACUUUAGUAGCUUCCCUCUAUUAUCACUUUCUUUUAUUGAUUUGAAAUGGAAUUGAAAAUUUUGGUAUGUAUCUUCUUAGCCUUGCUACUUCCCUUGGUUUUGAUUUAAAGUAAUAGGGUCUGUCACUUUUUUUUCCUAUAAAAUGUUUAUUUAUGCUAUACGGUUUUGAAAUAACUUAAAUUGAUAGUCACUCAUUCAUUUGGGGCAAUGCUCUCAUUAGUGGCUAAAUGUAAAGCUAGCCCAUAAUAUUGCUCUCAUGUUUACAGGAGAGUGUGGCAGCAAAUUUAAUUGCUAAACUAAUUUAGAAUCUUUUUCUUCUCCACAUAGCAAAUCAAUAUGUGUGGAUCAGAAUAAACCACUGUUUAUCACAGCAGGAUUGGAUUCUUUCGGUCAAAUAGGAUCUCCUCCUGUUCCUGAAAAUGACAUUGGAAAGCUUCAUGCCCACUCACCAAUGGAGUUGUGGAAAAAAGUGUAUGAAAAGCUCUUUCCACCAAAGAGUAUUAACACGCUGAAAGAUAUC
This 558-nucleotide small RNA is filed under the name Pongo abelii (Sumatran orangutan). RNAcentral describes it as "retained intron". The record is from RNAcentral. Lineage: Eukaryota; Metazoa; Chordata; Mammalia; Primates; Hominidae.